RNAcentral lists this long non-coding RNA (261 nucleotides) under Brassica rapa (field mustard). Its description in RNAcentral is "long non-coding RNA (BRAP_LNC002554)". Lineage: Eukaryota; Viridiplantae; Streptophyta; Magnoliopsida; Brassicales; Brassicaceae. The record is from RNAcentral.
AGAAGCUGUCGAGAAGAGAAAGCCACGUCGAUCGAUGCAGCACUCUGGACGUCGAUCGAUGGAGAUCCCAGAUCGUGGGCCUUGUAUAUAUUAUGACUGCGUGAAGCCCAGAAGCCACAAAUUACCAGAAUGCCCUUGGACGACCAGAAACCCUAUUUAUGUCAUUUCUAAGCCAUUGUUGACGGCUACGCUUUCUAGACUUCUUUAGCUUUCAUUUCCAUUGUUUCUCUGAGAGGAAAGAAGGGAGGAACUCCUAUCAGA